GACAGAGGAUGCAAGCGUUAUCCGGGAUGAUUGGGCGUAAAGCGUCUGUAGGUGGCUUUUUAAGUCUGCCGUCAAAUCCCAGGGCUUAACCCUGGACAGGCGGUGGAAACUACCAAGCUGGAGUAAGGUAGGGGCAGAGGGAAUUUCCGGUGGAGCGGUGAAAUGCGUAGAGAUCGGAAAGAACACCAACGGCGAAAGCACUCUGCUGGGCCGACACUGACACUGAGAGACGAAAGCUAGGGGAGCGAAUGGG
Molecule: ribosomal RNA, 253 nt
Filed under: uncultured bacterium
Lineage: Bacteria
Description: partial 16S ribosomal RNA
Rfam family: Bacterial small subunit ribosomal RNA
Source: RNAcentral